RNAcentral lists this ribosomal RNA (497 nucleotides) under uncultured bacterium. Its description in RNAcentral is "partial 16S ribosomal RNA". It matches the Rfam family "Bacterial small subunit ribosomal RNA", at positions 28 to 507 of the family's 1533-position model. The record is from RNAcentral.
GAUGAACGCUGGCGGCGUGCCUAAUACAUGCAAGUCGAGCGAACAGAUGAGGAGCUGGCGCCCCUGAGGGUGGCGGGGGACGGGAGAGUAACACGUGGAUAACCUACCUAUAAGACUGGGAUAAUAACGGGAAACAGUAGCUACUACCGGAUAAUAUAUCGAACCGGAUGGGUCAAUAGUGAAAGACGGUUUUGGUGUCAGUAAUAGAUGAAUCCGCGCCGGAUCAGCUGGUUGGUAAGGUGACGGCUUAGCAAGGCAACGAUGCUUAGCCGACCUGAGAGGGUGAUCGGCCACACUGUCACUGAGACACGGUCCAGACUCCUACGGGAGGCCGCAGUAGGGACUCUUCCGCAAUGGGCGAAAGCUUGACGUAGCACCACCGCGUGAGUGAUGAAGGUCUUCUGAUCGUAAAGCUCUGUUAUUAGGAGAGAACAAAUGUGUAAUUAACCAUGCACGUCUUGACGGUACCUAGAGAGUAAGCCCCGGCUAACUCCGUG